RNAcentral lists this ribosomal RNA (397 nucleotides) under uncultured bacterium. RNAcentral describes it as "bacterial SSU rRNA". It matches the Rfam family "Bacterial small subunit ribosomal RNA", at positions 28 to 426 of the family's 1533-position model. The record is from RNAcentral.
GAUCAACGCUGGCGGCGUGCCUAAUGCAUGCAAGUCGGGCGGGGUCCCUUUCGGGGGACUCACGCGGCGGACGGGUGCGUAACACGUGGGCAACCUACCCUAGGGCGGGGGAUAGCCACCGGAAACGGUGGGUAAUUCCGCGUACGUUUCCUGGUCGAUGGGGCGAGGAAAGAAAGGCGAAAGCCACCCUUGGGCGGGGCCUGCGGCCGAUUAGCUAGACGGUGGGGCAACGGCCUACCGUGGCGAUGAUCGGUAGCUGGCUUGAGAGGACGGCCAGCCACACGGGGACGUGAGAGACGGCCCCGACUCCGUACGGAGGCAGCAGCAAGGAAUCUUCCGCAAUGGGCGAUGAGCCUGACGGAGCAACGCCGCGUGGGGGAUGAGGCCCUUCGGGUGU